CCGCUGGAAAAAGUCAAAAGGGUUCCUGGCAUUAAAACGACUUUGCGUCAUUCCUGAUGAAAUUAGCAGCGCUGCAUGUUUAGAGCUUGGCUGUGGAUGCAUUUUGGUCACAGUAAGAAGUAAAGAGAUUUGGGGUUUAAGCCCCCCUCCCCCUCCCCCCCGCAUCUGAACAGGAGCCUUCUGCUUUCACUAGCUGCAAAUCCUGAGACCAGCACUCGAAAGCACCUUAGUCCUGCAGUCCAUUUUUUACUUGUCUUUAAGUGCAAGCGAUGGGAAUUGCUAACCUCGGCUGAGAAAAUUUCAUUUCCCCCAUCCUGCUAAACGGUUCUGGUCGACAUAUGUUUGUUAUCAGAGAGAGGUGCUAUGAACACAGAGCCAUUUUCUUAGUAGCUUUUUGACUCUGUGUUGCCAUAGUCCCACACGGCAUUGGUCCUUUCCCGUUGGGAAGUCAUGAAUAAGAGACUGUGAAGCUUGCACGUCAGAUCUUCCUCAAUUAAUCCACCAUUAGCAUGUUUGGGAUCCUCUACUGGAUGGUUAACAGCAGCUUUGGUAACUGUAUGCUGUCCAUGCCCAAUUAUGCUCUGCUAAAAAUGAACUCUGCAGAACAACCUUCCUGAGCUGUCAGUGUCUCCCGUUUUCUUAUUUUAACGCUUGUGUGUAGUGGCAGGCGACAGAUGGUGUAGAUCAGAUCGAUUUGAUUGCAUUAGGCGAUUUUUUUUUCCCUCCUCUCCCCCCCGACUCCUUUUCUGGAAGCCCACAUUCAUCUGAGAGGCGAUCGCCGGGGACAUGGGAAGCAAGAGCAGCCGCCGAUGUGUGAAAGCAACGAGACAUGGCCAGCCAGAGGCGCCGGGGUCCCUUCCCGGGGUUUGUUAACAUGGUAAUCCGGCACCAGGAGAGAAAGCUGCUUUCUGCUGCCCAGAGCCCACUCCCCAUCACACAUCAGAUGACUCCCUGGUUUUACACACGGAGUUCUGCUCGAAACCUGGAUUUAGAGGGAAUCUGUUGCUGCGUGUGACAUCUCUUGCAAGCUCCCAGAGAGAAUUGAUGGAGCAUACAGCCAGGGAAUAGGAUGCCAGAGAUGCACAGAGGAAGAAGCCAGGCAAUCACCAGCAUGGGAAGGUUCAGCGUCCGUUGGAUAUGGGACAAGAUCGCUCGGCAACCCUUGUGGAUUCUCCUUCUUCUAGAGGGGAGUUAUAGUUGUGGAUUUAUUGUCCCGGUGCAGCACUUCCACCACCACCACCAGCAACAGCAGCAGCUUUCUGACUCUCUUCGGUGACGGGUAUUCUUGGGUGGAUAAUACGGAUUACGUUGUUAUUGCUUAAGAAUACGCGUAGUCGAGGAGAGUACCGGCGGCGGGCAGGCAGGCAGGCAGCGCGACCGCCCCCAGCCCACCAGCUGGCUCCUCACCUCCUCUAGUUGCCAAGGUAGCACCUUUUCCGUCUUUUCCUACGCUUUGCAAUGUUUCACUUUGCCAGUGUCUCUGCCCGGGCGGGGGGGAGCUCGGACGCCCUGUCUCCUGCGGAGGGGGGGGGGGUGCCCGUGUGUGCGUGCGUGGGAGCAAGCACAGGGCCGGAGAGGGCCGGGGAAAGGCUUGCCAAGCCCCGCAGCAGCACGCCGCGGCGGCCCUGGCCCGUCGGGUGCUGCGGACAGGGGCUGACCGGGCGAGCCGGGGCCGCUGGGGUGCGCCUCCGCGGGCAGCGCUUGGCAGGCUGCACCGGGGCCGGGGAGGAGGUGCCCGCCCCGCCCGGGAAGCCCCGGUGCCCCGAUACACAGCCAACAGUCCCCAGUCCCCGCCGCGCCCGGAGCCCGCGUCUCCUCGCCCCUCUCCGGCGGGGAGCGCGGGGCGGGGACGGGGGGACUGGGGAGGACGGCCCGCCGGCCGGGGUGUCCUCGUUCCAGGGCACUGGCUGCCCGCAGGGCCGGGGCGGCGCCGGGUCUGCCCGCACCAGCCGUCAGAGCCCGGAAUGCUGCCCCCUCUGCGGCCCACGGGUCGUGCGGGGCCAGGGUGCUGCCCGCGGUCAGGGAGGUGCAGAGCACCCGUGCAAGCGAGGCCAGGGGCACUCCGCACAGCCGUGGCUGUGCCCUCCCCACCGAGAGGCAUCUGCUCCCUAGCUGCCGAGGGCUCCAGCCACCCGGUGAGGCCGCUACUGGGGAGCAGGUUGUGGCUGAUUGCUUCCGAAGGGUGACUCCUUGCUCCCUUAUCCUCAUCCCACAAUACCAACCUGGUGAGGCAGGAUUAAGAACUUACCUCACACCAGCCCCAACUCAGCAGGUUGGGAAGCACCCAGCUGAAUGUAGACCUUAUCCGCCUCUAAGGCCCCAGGUUGAGAUACAUGUUAAGGGUCAGGGCGUUGUUUACCCUUCUGCACCUCAGGUGGUGGCUUCUUUAGUAGUCCCCAAAUGCUUCUUGCAGCUGGGCAGGAGGGAGACACAACCAAGGGAGCGUUGAUUACCAUUGCUGGCCAAGCCAUGUCCCAUUUUUUAACACAGAAAAAGAGGUGCCUCGAUGGAGGCACCCUCCAGCAUCAAGGACAGGCUUUGGUUAAAACCUUGGUCAGCCUUUCAGAUGCUGUACUUGGGAAAACACAUUCAUACUUCCAGUCUUUUCUCCUCUGCUCCUCUGCCCCCAGGACUGCCAGGGGCAAGUGAUCAGCUCCAUGUUUCCCCAUUUGAGACAUCUCCACAUGCCCAGAGGAUCCCAGGUCUUGUUUCUACAUAGUUGCAAUUGUGAGACAAGGUUUUAGCUGUAAACGAAUUAGAUCAGAAGCCAUUUUAAAGCAAGACCAAGAGUAUUGUGAUGAGAUAGCUUUUUGAAUGGAUCCUUCCCCAAGCUCAGCUAUGAUGAGGCUGAGAAUGAUUUUUUAACAUGGAUGAGCCAGAUGUGGGGUGAUCCUUAAGUUGUGAGUGAAAGGCUUGUUGAUGGAUAAUAUCUCUUGCUUAGCAUUUGAAAGGUCAUCUAUAUUCUGCUUAAUUGUUUCCAACAACUGCCAAAGGAAUCUUACUCUGUUGCCUGCAGUAGUGAGUGGAACGCUUAUUGUUACACAGCCGUGUGGAUGUUAUUCUUUAGACACAUCUUUGAUGCCAGCGCUCUGAUCCUCAUGUUUCUCUAAUAUUACUUGAAAGCAGAUUUUUUUUCUUGUAGUUUAGUAUGUUCAACAGCCUCAGAAAUAAUGUUAAAUUAUGCUUUAAAAAGACAUGAUCAGCUGCUAAAUCAUAGUCAGUUCAGCACUGUAACCCAGCCACAUUCACAAGUGCUGCAGGAAUAGCAGUGGAAACACUAUUUUAAACAUCCAGGUUUGUAUUACAAACCUUCUUCUGAUCUGAGCUUUUAGUUGACAUCUUCCCUUCUAAGUCAGGACUUAGAGUAUUAUCAGGAGUUCUCAUUUCAUCACAUAAAGGAUGUGGUUCUGUUUGCUCUUUGCUUGGUUGAGUAUCUUGUGCAGUAUACAUUGGACUGGUACCCAAAAAGACAAGCUUAGCAAAAUGUUUCUUUAUACCUGGUUUCUUCUAGUUGCCUUCUGUUUAGCAUGAUGAGCUGGUUUUGCUGAACAAUACCUUAAUGACAGGGCUGAUGCAUUUUUAAUGCUUGUACUCUUUGUCAUUGUCAAAAUUAACAUUUUGAUGAUUGUAGGUUUCUUUUCUCUAAAAUCUUUUGAGAAUUGUUAUGAUAUGUGUGUUGAAAGAGUGAAACUGUACGGUCCAAUCGGAGAAAUACUGGAUAUGCUCACCAAAAUAAUUAUAAAAUACUGUGUAAAGGCUCAAUAGCAUAAGGGCUCUUAGAAUGAUGUUUUCCGAUAGCAUGAUCUCAGAGUGGCGCUCCCCAUUCAUUAGCAGUUCCUGGGAUCUGUCAUAUAUGUAUAUUGAAGGACAGAAGCAGUCAUUUCUGAACAGCAGAUAUCUAAAAUGAGACUAUUUACACUGCGAGCCUGAUCUUGGGCACACACGUAGCUUCCAUGGGACUAGUCAUGGAAACAAGGUUGCUCGUGCUAAAUCCAAAAUAUUUUGGGCCAAAUCCUACCAUCCAAUGCAAUAGCAAAGCCCCAGUUGAUUUCACUGUGGGAAAGAUUAGACACCUAGGGAAAGUGAUUUUUACAACGCUACACUUCCUAUGUUUUUGCUUUAGAAAUUGCGAGUCCUGUGUGCUAAAAACUGAGUCUAAAAACCCCCUGCCUCUAAUAGUCUAAUGAUAUUUUAUUAACAGUAGAAAUUAUACUAAAAGGCUAUAGUGCAACAUAAUAAGAAAUUACUUUCUAAAUAGGAGUUUUUAAUUGUAUCAGUAUGAGUAUUUUCUAAGACAACAUUUUAGAAUGAGGUUUGUGGCAGCACCAACUGUGUGUUAACAGCUAUUUUGGCGAGUGCAUAUUUAAUUAAUUUAGAAUACUAGAUUUCUGUUCUAAAAUUGUUUUUGUAAUAUGCAUUCUGGUAGAAAAUUAAAUAAAGAUUUAGCCCCAAAAUAAUUACUUGGAUUUAGCCUUUUUUUAAAGGCCAUAAUCCUAUGAAGAUUUAUAUCUCUGGGUAAUUUUAUCCACUGGCUGCUCUCAUAGGUAAGUCUUUGUUAUGCUAGGGCCCCCGCAGCAGCAUAGCUGAUGGAGCAGCGGACACUGGGAUGGCAGCUGCCCCAAUGCAGAGCAGGGUGCUGCAGGGUCCCCCCGUGCAGCCGCCCGUGAUGCUGACUGCUCCCCGACCAGCUCCAUGCCAGGGAGACAGCAACUGCUCGGGCCUUGCCAGAGCCGGGGACUGCCGAAAGGGCUGUGACUCCGAGCACCAUGGGCACGUCGUGCCCCACUGUGGCAGUGGGAGCACGAAGGGUAGCUUUGGUGCCUAUCACCCUGUGCAGGUAGGGGAACAGCCAUGCCUGGGUCUGCCUGAAACAGACAGCAUUGCCCUACUUAGCAACACCCUAAAUUAAGAGAUGAGGACUGCCAUUCGAUUUCAGGUGCUCUUUCCGCAAAUAUUUAAGCCUACAGCUCUUAUAUGUAUACGUAUACGUAUCUGAAUUGAAUGAGUAUAUAAAUGUACAUAUACACAUACACACAUUUCUCUGACGGGAGGCUACAGCACAGUAAGAAAAGCCCCACUUUCCCAGAGCUGACAGAGGCACAGCUCCCACUCACCUCAGCAGGGGCCGUGCCGUUGCAGUGCGUAUUUAUGACUGGUGUUUUAAUUCCUCUUGCUGUUUGCAAAUUUCCCUAAAAUAAAUGCAUACAUUGCACGUAGAUAUGUACAGUUAUACAAAUGCCUUUUCUUGGGGUCAGUUCUGCUUGCUUUCUGCUUUUAAGACUACAUCUGAUUUUGAAAUGAGUGUAAGAUUCCUUCCCGUAACAGGUUAUUGCCUUUUGUGUCAGUUUAGGUGGCUUCUAGUGUUCAUACGUGUUUCUUAAGGAAACUGAAAAUAAUAAUAUCUAUACAUCCACACAGCUAUAUACAUACUUUGCAGCUGUAGAGAAUAAGCUAACUAGCUUUUUUCUCUGGGUUUUUAGAUCACAGUAGAAGUAAUAUGUACAACUGGAUUUUUAUGCAUUUUUUAAAAUAAAUAGUGUCUUUACAUACACAACAGGCUUUUCUUCUCUUCCUUUCAAAAGAUUACUAUUUUUUCUGAAAAGCACUCCCUCAGGUAUUACCUUUAGCUCUUUUGACACCUGACCAUUUAAUGUGGUAAAUGUAAAUUGUAACACCCAUUAUUAAUAAUCAUAAUUUCUUAUCAGAUUCAGCAUCUGCCUCUUGAAAGCUAUAAUGGUGGAAACAUUUCCUGGGCUAAAGCCCAUGAUGCUUGCCUGCUUUUUAUUGCUAUCAUUUAGUAACCAAAUUGUUCAAACAUCAAAGGACUUGAUUCUCUCAUACCUGCAAAGUGUAGCGCUAUUUAUAAAUGUUGGCUAGAUAAUAACAAUGACUCAAAAGAAAUUUAAAUGACAGGCCAAAAAUAAGAAGUCUAAAAAUGAAAAUCCAAGCCAGAAUUCAUAGAGGUGAUGGGAAGAGUCUGACAUUGAAGGACGGAGAUGGUCCUAAGGAAGGUAAAGAGAAGAGGACUGGAGGUGAUGGUAGAGGGUAGAUGUGCUGUGACUUUGGAAAGCCAGAGGGCAGAUGAGAGGAGAGGCACCAGGCAUGGCAGGCAAGGAGAUAUUGCAGUGUGGUGCUGGGAGAAUGUGCCAGAAAUGUGGAAACCAGGGCUGGAACACCACACACAUUUGAUUGCUUGCUUUUUGGAAAAACAGUAUGUAGUUAAAAGCAGCCAAGAAAAAAAUAGAUAAAAUGUUUCAGAAACUGGAGGGGUUGAUCGAUGGGGAAAAAUAAGAGCCCUGAAGAUAUAGCUGAAAGGAAUUUUAUAUAUAUACACAUAUAUAUACGAAUAUACAUACCUAGACACCAUAACAUAAUAAUGCCCAUAUAGAUAAAUGAAAUUAGUAUCCUGCUUUUGAAAUCAUUCUCCUACAGAAACUGGGGGGGAUUUUCUAUUGAUUGCAGUGUGGCCAGAAUUUCUCCCAUCUGCAGGAAAGUGAUGUAGCCUGGUGUGUGCAAAUAGACCUAGGAACUAUGUAGGGAGAAAAUGCAGUGUGGCUAUCCUUUCAGUGGACCCAAUUCCUCUCUAGCCAGUGGGGAUGAUAUAGAGUAACGGAGCAAUCUCCAGGCAGGAAAGCCCUUGCUUGGGAGAUACAAAAUUACCUUGGCCAAGCCGCUGCAGGCAGCAGUCACCCUACGAGGGUUGGGGAGAUCUCGCCUCCGACUUCUGUGAUACACCUCCAUGGAGGAGGAAUGGUGCUGAUAACUCCCUUAUGCUUUAUACCACUAGAAAGGAAGAGAUAGGCCCAUAAGAAGCUAUUUAAACCUUGCAAGAUACUCUCAUAGAGUAUUUCAGAUUAGGUCAAAGUUACAUCUUUUAUCUGUUUCAAGGUCAAUUGUCACCACAGUACCAUUCUGUAUCAGUUCAUCUGAAUCGUAUGUAAUGUACACCCCCUUCACACUAUUACAUUAGGCAUGAAAUGUUGGAAAAAUACAUCUGACUUUUCUUUAAUACUAAGAAUUGCUGAUUCAUAACCUUGAUUGGAAUAUUAGCAGUUCUCUUACUAAGUCAGGACAAUAUCACAAAGUUUAUUAAUGUUCACAGGUCAUGCCUAUCUUCUAAAUCACUGAAAAUCAAUGACAAAGAGAUCACCAUGGAAUUGGUCUUCUCUAAUUGGCAAAAGAGGGACAUUCUGAACCAGAACAGUACAGCAUUUGAUUGUACAGCCUGUUACCAAAAAAAGAACCAUCUCACUAUAUCUUACAGAAGCAUUUACAUAGAUAAUGUAGAUUUCAUAUGACUACUUUUAGAUUUAGUAAUAGCUUUGCAAGAAUUCACAUUCCUCUAACAAGAAGUUAGUAGAAAAUUCAAAUAAAAAGGCAUCACUGUAAUUACUGCAUUGUAAAGGAUUUAUUUUAUUUUUUUUUAGUUAGGUGGGAAAUAGCAAGAGCAGGGAGGCUUGAUGCAUUAAUGCUUCACACCACCUGGAAACCCAUCCUUUAACAAUCAUUCUUCAGGAGAUAACUUAACUGGUUACUCCAAGAAAACAUAGAGCAGUAUUACCUCUUUGUCAAAUUGCCAAAACAUUAUUCUGAAAUCCAAAAUUAUACAGUCUAAUGCCUGCUGUUUUACUGAAGCAACAGUUAUUACAGGCUUGAUGCUCUGGUUGUUAAAAAUGACCGUUACAGGGAAAAAUUAUUUCUUUUUCCCCUACUUUCUUUUGUCCACUUGUCCACUGCCUGGCUGCCUACCCUUCCUGUUUAUGAUACAUGCAAGAGAUUCAAGCAGAUGUAAGGGUUUUUUGUUUUCAGGGUGUUUUAUUUUACAAAUGUCAGAAUAAUUUAAUUCUUUUUAUUCCUUUUUUUUUUUUUUUCCUGAAUGUCUUGAGCUAUAGAGAAGAGCAGCAAAAACUUUCUCAGACCUCAGUCUAAUAAGUGGUGAUUUUUUCAUUUUUAAGAAAAAGGCCUUUUCCUCUGCAUGUUUGUCUGGGGUCUGACUUAUGCAGAGAGCAAUAACAUAAUUACUUUCAGGUUUUCAGUCCAAUCCUUUGCUUUCUGGCUGUGCAUGUUUUAUUGUCCCUUAUUGUGUUAUGACAUCAUGUGGCUAUUGUACAUGUGAGGACAUAAACUCAUUUGCCUUCGGUCAUUCACAGAGCCCCUUGGUGAAAACGCGAUCUGCAAUUCCUGCUCUAGGAAGCAAAUAACAAAACCACUACCUUUUGCUCUCCUUGUUUAGAUGCUUGUAAUUUCUGCGUAUGUAAAUUCUCGCCAGUGAAGAAUGCAGGACCAGUCUAGACCCUCGAUUAGAGAUGAAAAUAGACAUGUUUCAUUUUAAUUUGCUGGAGCUGCAGUAAGGCAGUGCUGCUCACUCUGCUCUAGUCUCCUUGGUACAGAGGGAGGAAAACUCCAACAAGGGAAAAGAGGCUGAAUGGGCAUGACGCAAAAUCCAAGGAAAGCAAACCAAAUAAAUAAAUUCCCUCACAAAAUACCUAGCUGGAAUUUUUAUGGUUUAUUUUUUACCAAAUGCCACUCUAUUUAAAGUAUUCCACAUUUCUUGGACGUAAAACUUAAAAAUGCGCCUCACAGAGGGGCUUAGAAUAAUAGCUCUGAUUUCUUUAAUAAAAUCUCUCUUCUGAGAUUAACUCUGGAGCUAGCAGUAAGGUCAGUAUUUCAUUUCAUAGAAGUCAGCUCAUGCUGACAAGGGUUUGGCCUUCUUAGUAAUGGGCCGUUUGCUGCUCAGAAGUGUGAGGAAUGGCUUUCCAAAAUAUCGAUAUCUUGCCUUUGCUGGAGUUCAUGAUCAAAUUUAGCUGGCAAGUAUCGAUGUGCUACAGCACCCGGACUGAUGGGCUGCGAGGCUUGGGCCUUGGGCCAGCCACUAAGGUUUGCUUUUUAAAUCAGAGGCUAACUCUUCCAUUAGUGUAAAUCAGUGGUUUAUAAUAAUGUCCAAUGAGAUUUGUGCCAGAGUAGUCCAGACUACAUCCUGGUCUUAGCAUUUGAAAAGGAAUAGAAAAUUUAGGCUGAGACCAUUAGUAUUUUGUUUUCAAUUGGUUUUGGUGUGUGUGUGUGUGUAUAAACGUGCCUAUACACACAUGCACACCCAUGCAGAGCUGCAUUUAAUUCCCAUGGAUGUUUCCCAUGGCCAUGUUUUUAUCAUUGAACAAAGACCCAGGAACACAAAAUCUUCAUCCUGGUGUAGUUUAAUUGACAUGUGCAGAGAUCUCACAUAAAGGCUCUGGGAUCCCCCUUUCCAUCCAUUUAAGGAAAGCAGGCAAGCUUCAUCCCUAGCUAAACCCUUCACACAAUAUACAUCACUAAUGAGGCAGCAUCUAUUUAUAUAUUGUGUUUACAAAUUGUUUGCUGGAAAUGACUGAAUUCAGACAGAAGUUGGUGAGGCAGCCUGAGCCUCCAUGGAGUCUAUUGUUAGUACCCAGGAUGACUCCUCAGGCAAAUGGGGAAGAGAGGCAUGACUUGGAGCCUACGGUGCCAUGCCAUAGCAGCUUUGGCCCCAGGCAGGUGGUGUCUCCUCUCAGAGAAUGCCUUUGAUGGCUCUGCCAGGACCCAGCAGGGGAGGAAUGCCAGAGAAAUGGUUGUGACAGCAGGGGGGCAAGAGCACAGCCCCAUUGUGGCUCCCUGGGAAGCGGCAUGCUGACCUGGGUGUAUCCACUGGGUGAGAGCUCCCUGCCUUUCUUCAUGAGAAAAAAUGUCCCAGAUGGAAUGGGAGGAAGGCAAUACUAGUUUGAUACACACUGAUGCCUUUUUGCCAUGUCUUUGCAGAAGGUUUUCAACAAUAUUUUUUGUUUAACUAGGAAAAAAAAAAGAUGCAGUAAACCAGCCCCAUCUAGCAUUACAAUGUUGGUUAGGUAGGUCUGUGCAGCUGAUAGUCUAGUGAUGAGGAUGAGGUGCAGUGCUGAUACAUGCCUGUGACAAUGAAAACUUGCUUGUCUAUGAGAUGUUUAGCAUAAAUAAGGCACUCAAAACCCCUUAGCAAAGCACAAUCCAGACAGCACUUUUGCUCCAUGUCCUUUUUUUCUUUUACUUUCCUUUGUGGCCCUUGUGUAUUUUGCCCAUAUGCUCUAAAGCUAUUUUGUUUUCAGUUUUGUGUAUGUUUUAUGUAAAUUAGAAAAAUCAAGUUCUUCUGCUUGCUAAAUUAUAAGUUGAGUGGAAAUUGGCCAGCUCUCUUUAGACUAUGUCUAUAAGUUAUACAAAAUAUAAGUAAUCAAGCUGAGCAGGCUGGGUUGGGGAGGGGAAGCGCACCUAUAGCACGGGCCAUGUGAGCUGUGACCAUGCAUCGCUGUAUACUGCCGAUUGCCCUUGCAGCCUUGAGUAUCUCUUUGCUUUAAAGUGCCAGUCUAACUCCUUUCAGGCUGUUCUCCAAGAUGCAGGUUUAUUGCCUUCUUUGGUAGUUUGCUCAGCAUAUUCAUUACACCUUGUAUAAAUGAACUGCUCUUAAAAUGGUUUUUUCCAUUCUUGCUUUAGGACCAGAGUAGAUCCAGACUGCCUCUUCUGGGAGCACUGAUUCAUUUUGUUUCCCUUCUUCCCCUUGAAUGUGAGGCCAGUGGGCUAAGCCUCAUGAAGCAGAGAAGAGCUGCCUUUAGACUGGAGUUUGCACCUUCUAUUUCCACAGUCGAAGCAGGAAACUGGUCCUUCCCUGGAAGAAGUCAACUGAAGAGGCAUUAUCCAUUCAAGUAGGCUGGUGGGACCACAUGAAGGCCAGUGGUCAUUGUCAUUGACCAGCUCUCUUCAAGCUGGCUGAGAAGCUGAAUGGUUCUGUUGAUUAAAUUCCAUCCAUUCAAAAGGAAAUUACCAUUAUAAUGUUUUGGCAAAGCAAAAUAUUUUUUUUUUUUUUUUUUUUGCUAGUAAGAGUUUAAGUCUUGUGGAGCCAUGAUCUCCUCUUAGGAUGUCAAAGAAAGAGGCUUCACUAUUCAAAUGCUGCCUGCCUUACCAGCCUGCGUUACCCUGAUGAUAAAGUGCUCCAGCGACAGAAGUCACCUUCUGUGUUCAGCUGAGCUCAACUGGAAUUGUGAUCUGUGGCUGUGCCGCCAAGUGAUUUUGAAGACGUUCCGGGUGCAGAGCUGUGCCACUGUAUUUCAAGUGAUAAUAAAAGCUCAUCGGAUAAAUUGAAGGAGCAUGUCUUUUCAUUGCAGCAAGUUGGGACUGUAUGAGCAACUCUAUCAUUGUGCUGAGGCAGCAGAUGCAGUCAGUGUUUGGAGGAAAUGGUUCAUGACCUGAUGAUGCUUCCUGAGAGAUGCAGCCAGGAAACAAAGACGUUGAGGGCCCCUCGGGUGGAAGUAACAUCGGAGGGGUGGGCGAAGGAAGCAGGAGGAUCAGGCAAUGGGAGAGCUCCUCUCCCAGCCUGUGCCCACAUGCACAGCACUGCAGAGCAGUGAGGGGCUCUGAACCCCCCCACAUCAGGGGCUCUACAGGGGCACUUGAAUUCCAGCUGAGGGUUUGGCCUCCUAGUCUUUGUAUCAGGUGAAUCUAGCUCAGCUGCGCUGGUGCAAAGGAGUGAAUACAUUUUGAGGAAAAAAAAAAAAGCAACAUAAAGGUGUACUACAUAAAGAUAAAAAUGCUGCUAAUGAACCUCAUUGUCAAUGGCAUUAUUUGCAGCUAUUACCUGGACAUUAAAAAAAAUAGGUGAAAUAAAGCUGUUUUUUUUCUGAAGGAGUGAAAGUUUCUUCACUAACAGUCCACUCCCUGUGUGGUUCUCCUCUCCUGUGUUUCUUGGUUCCCUUGUUGCUUGCUGACCUGCUCACCUGAGGGGCUGUGCUGGGGAGCAAAGCUGCGGCUGCUUUGAAGCCUACUGUGUCCAUGGCUGCUCCCUGGAAGGAGGAGAGAGAAACUGGAGGAGGCAGCACCAAAGUGAGGGUAAGGGUGUGGAUUGGGGUAAGGGAGCAGGUGAUAGAACAGCUCCUCGAAGCAGGGACUGAGGACGGUGUGCUGCUCUGAGAAGUUGCAGUGCCUGACAGGACUUGUCUCCUGCCGGGGCAGGUCACCUUCCCUUUGUCUUGACACAGUGCUGGAGUGUGUGUGCCUGUGUCUGCAUGUGUGUUUGUGUGUGAGCAUGUGUGCUGAGCCCAGAAACCAGUCACUACUGCUCUGGGUCUUCUCAUAGACGCUCAUUAUAUUCUUUGCUGCCCUAUGAUUUGCAGUAUCUAUUUUAUUAUUUACAUAAACUCAUGCUCUUACUGUCUUCAGGGAAUUUCACCCAAGAAAGCACUGAGCUAAUUCACCUUCCUUCAAAUCCAUAAGCACAAACACCUUCGAUGUAAUUUUUCUGCCCCUGGGAUCUCUGUAUUACUCACUUUGGUUAGGUCCUUUUUAAAGAAGUUAAUAAUCUGUCACCAUAAGUCCAUUGACUCUCAGAAGAACAUUUCUUCCAUUCCUGAGGUCACUUUCGUAACCAGUUUGCAUAUUAGUGCUGUUUGUUAGCAUCUGAUCAGCUUUUCUCUGUAGUAUUAGUGUGCAUGCACUUUCUUUAGUAGUAUCUGAAGCUCAUAAGACACCUAUGAGUUUGCCUCCUGAUGGGAGAGAAGGUAUCAGUAGUCUGUGUUUUGUGUCUUGAGUCUCUUAAAAGGACUAGAAAUCCCAAAUGCAGUAACUUGUGGAUUUUCUGUCUUAGAGAAUUAGGAUGUCUUUGCAUUACUGAGCAGGCAAACAUUGAGCAGUGCUUGAUCAAUAAGAGGCAUUGCCAGAGGUCUGGUAUAGUCUGCCACAGCUAACGGUAAGUGUUGCUAUAGGCUAUAGAACUAGGAAUAUAAAAUGUUGAAUGACAGUAAUAAUUCAUGCAUCCUGGGACACAUAAAACAAACAGCAUGUCAAUAGCUGUGGCAUGCUCUGCAGAAAAUAUGCAGGAUUUAGAUGUUGCAAGAGGCUGUGUUUUAUUUUAAACCACAUUUUCUUUGGUGAAAUAUAGACUUUCGCCAUUUGUUAAAAGCAUUUAUGUUGGGUUUCAUGGUGCUAGUUUUCUAUUAAGAUUCAAAGAGCUGCAUAGCUGAAAAGGGGCACUGAGAUUGAAAAAGCAAAACGGAUGUAUAUAUUGAAGAAAAACACAUAAAAGAUUUAUAAAACAGAGGGUACAAUGGUAUUUGAGAUUCAUGGACCAUUUCUGCAUUCAUAAAAGUAUAUAUGGUUCUUAUAUUGGCAUCACUGGGAAUCGGACUUUGCUAGAUGAGUUACCCAGGAGGUAUCUGGUAUUGCUUUAAAAUUACACUUAUUACAAUCACUUUGCAUUUUACUUGGAAAGCAGAAUAUCUUGUGAAAUAAGAACUUUCCCAGUAUUUAUCUUCUUAAAAAAUACUUCAAGAUAAUUAAUAUUGCUUGUCUUAGAAAGAUACCAAAGAGGGUGAAUUAUUGCAUUUGGAAGGGUACAGGGAUAAGAAGAAAGAUGGCAUCUAUGUGAUACAUGUUCUCCCCUGUGCCACUAUUGCACUGCUGCGUGGGAACCUAAAAGUGACAAGUGCUGUUUUACUGGCUAAGGCUCCAACAAAAAUUCUUCAGAUUAAAAUUUAAUGAGAAAAGUCAAAAAAAAAUAUGUUCAAGCAUUCCCAUUCUUAUUCUUUCAGCUGUAUGCUCCUGUGCACCUCAGCCAUGUGUUGCCAGGUCUCAAUUUCUCUAAAUCUGCCUGGAACUAGAAAGGCGAGACAGAGAAGUUGCAUGUCACUCAUGAUUAUAUGAAUAUAGGCCUUAGCAUACAGGUAAUACUUCUAAAAGAAUGUAAAAUAUUAACAAAAAAUAAAAGGAAAAGCAUCACAAAGAAACCCACCAUGCAUUAUUUAAAUCUUCCCUGUGAGAGGCUGAGGACUCAAAUGCAUAUGAAUCGUCUGCUCUUCCAUGUGAUAGCAAUCCCUUCACUUCAGAGUUGCAAGGUCCCAGCUCCUAGUUGUCUGCUCAGGAAUUUUUUUUUUUUUUAAGGUGUAUAUUCAAAUAAAUCACCUUAAAUAUAAUUUCUGGUUUUUGAAGACCAUAAAGUUAUUUUGGUGCAGUGGACUGCACCUACAUAAACAGGCACUAAUAGUUACUUCAGCACACUUGCUGAAGCCAGACUGGGACAGAGAUCAUGACAAAAAUGGAAGAAAAAAAAAAAAAAACCACAAGCCUGCUAACUGUCUGAGACCUUGUUCUGCUCCUUUGGCUUGGUUUGGGUAGGAUAUGUUUUACAGUCCUCCCCUGACACUUGGCAAAUUUAAAGCUGUCACUGCUGAUCUUGCUUCUCUUAGUAUUAAAAGAAUGUCUAUGAUGUUUUAUAUUAUGGGGGGAAAUUACUGUAUCUACUUAUUUUAUUUUCAUUGUCUCUUUUCUUAUGACUGUACUGUUUGCCAGCAGCUGAGGGGCCACUUUGCUUGCCUUGAUGCCAUGGUGUGUUGAGCCCACAGUUUUCCUUUCUAAUCAGAGCUGGCAUACUGGGUGGAAAAAAAAAUAAAGCUUUUCUAUAAUUAUGGUUAUCUCUUAUAGUUUGCAUUUGUUAUAGCUGCUGGGGUGCUGGAAACCAGUGUUUCUAAAUACCUAUAUAUAUUUUCGGAUUUGUUUUGCAUCUUGGAUAUGUUUUUGCCUAUUUCUGUUCCUCACCCCGGUCACUCAUGCGAGCAGGCUUGUGUCCCUGUGCACUGAAUGGUUCUUGCCUCGGGAAGGUAUCAACCUGCACGUGUUACCUGUUACAACCUACACCUUGGUCACUCUUCUCACUCUAAGAGAUGGCAUCCCAUCAAGGAAAACAAAUGAAUCUUGUACAGUUAAUUCACCCAGGGUAGUGAGUAGCCAAAAUACCAAAAGCAUGAAUGCUGGCAGCAAGGUCAGAGUCAGCCCAGUGGGACUCAGGUGUAUUGCAUGAACCCACCUCUGCCUUGCUGCCCUCAGCGGUCUAUGGUUUCACCAUGGGUCCUACUGUGUGUUACAACACAUUCUUGUGCCCACAGAAAGAUUCACUUGCUGGUUACCUUCUUUGCCCAUUGCUCCAUGUCGUGAUGCCAAGCUGGACCUGAAUAAUACCCACUUGGAUGUUGCUAUUACUUUUCUUCCUAUAUCUCACGGCCAUUUGUGGAUUGAUGAGGGACUGUUUUGUUUCCAUUUUACGGAUGGAAAGGGAGGGACUUCAAGUGGCUGAGUGAUUUGUCCAGGAUGAUGGAGCAAAUCAAUGGAAGAAAAAGGGAUCAGGCCACUUCCUGCAGUUUAGGAGUGUCUUUAACUGCCCUGUGGGUUUUCUAGGAAAAGGCAUGCAGAUCUCCAAAGAGGCAGCUUCCAUCGCAGCAGUGCUCCUCUGUUAUUUCUUUCAGGUUAUUGCUGUGAGUGAUGGAGAAAGGCAAAAUGUAUUAUUCAUCUCUCCUGCUCAUAAAAUCAAUACCUAUCAAAAUACAAAUACAAUUUAAAUCAAAGGGCACUUGUUGAGUGCAGAUCCUACUAAUUAGGUAUGAUUUCCCAACAAUUUCUUAAAUUAUUUAUCCAAGGGAUGGGUAGCAGACACUUCAUGUGCCCCAGAGUGAGUAUUACAAACCUCUUGUCAUGAUACAGCAAAUGUGAAAUGUAGCGCAAUGCAGUGUGAUUUGUAAUCUUCAUGAACUAAUGUAAUAUCAAUAGACAUCAGUCUGUGCAAAAAAUAUGUCUCAUCAUAACAUCUAAUAAGAUAUGCUGAAAAUCAAUAACCUUGUGAAAUGGACACAUAUCAGUGAAGGACACAGAUUGUGCUGCUAGGAAUCAAUUAAAAAUGUAAUACGCACCUGCAAUGAAAGUUACUAAACCACCAUCACCAAAAGAGAGGUUUAUAUCGUGCAUGGACACUUGUGAGAGCAGCUCCCUGCAGGCUGGCUGUUGGCUCUGUAAGCAAUUCUACUGUAAUAUCUGACCCUUUUUCCUUACCCUGGUAUUGCUUAAUCUAGCCCCAUAGUCAACAUCUAAACAAUAUUUAUGCCAUAUCUAGUUGAUUACAGUUUAAAAACCUGUAAAGAAAAGAGCCAAUGGCUUUGAAGAUUUUUGUGUACAAAUUAGGAAGCAGGUCUCCUGUAAAAUGAAAGGUUUACAAUUGUCUGUCAAUGACAUAGAUCAAUGUUCUUCAAUUUUCAAUCAUAAGGAUUUUUCUUAUGCAGCUUUUUUUGAUCUUAAUUUUCAAAUGUAUACUCCUAUCCAUACAGCAGAUUUUGAGAUUCCAUCACAACAGCCAUCUGUCAACUGAAAACCCUUUGUCUCAUCAUAUAGACGUGAUACCUACUAAUCAAAUUGUUCCAAUCAGCGAUUCAAAACAACAGUCUGAAAUAUUAGGUAUAUUUUCUCCCCAUUUUUUAAAACAGAUGGCUUAAAAAGUGAACAUUUUAUUAUUUUACUUUUUACUUCAUAAUCUGACAACAAUUUAAGGGUAAGUGUAAUUUUGAGACCUAAAUAGUUGAGCAUGGAACUGCUAUGACUUCAAAGACAGCAAUACCUGAGAUGGUGAAGUAAAACCAUCAGAGUAAUUCAGAGCUUAAACUUCUUACUCAGUGCAUCCCUUUCUAGCCUUCUUGGUGACCAGGCUCCCAAGAAAGCUGCCAGGAGCCUGAGCAAAAAGCUGUAGCAGUCCAAAAUGCCCGACUGUUACGACUGCUGCCAGCAGCCUGUGAUCUCACUGCGCUGUUGACAGCACUUAGGUGCAAUUGUGUAACUGGGGAUGCAAGGCAGAGCCUUAAUUCAGAAUUUCAUGGCACUUUCAAGUACAAGUCAGAAUUUUAAUGGUAUUUAAACCUUCCUUAUUAGUUACACAAUAAGUGUCUUUCAGCUAGUGUUCUGCAAAAUCCUUCCUGGUGGUCUGUAAAAGACAAGAUUUUGAAAGUCAGAGCUGGAGGCUGAAUGCUGGGUAUGUGCAGAUGGAUCGCUGUGCCUGAACUGAUGGGAGGAAUAAGAAAGUCUGAAGAAGUACUGCACUAGGAUAUCAUGGGCUAAUAAAGGUAGUAGCACAAAGUAUAAAACAGCAUGGCAUGAAUACAUUGGUUAUACAGGAUAAACUCACCUUCAAUUUUUCAGCUCUCCUGCUUGUGCGUUUGCUCUUUUUAAGUAAAGAAUGUCUGUCUGGUAGAUAUGAAAGCAAAGUUCAAUACCAGAGUGCUUAAGUUACAAGUCUUAGCUACAUCAAGUGAAAAUAGACAAUCCUACAUUUAAUGGUUUGCAUUUUCUCAUUCCAUUUAAAUGAGAACGAGUUAUCUGAAAGGAGCAUCAAAUAUUGCAGUUACUGUUAAGUGGUGUUUUCAUUUUCUUCUUCUUCCUAAUUCCUUUCAUAUAUGUUUAAAAAGUGUGUGAUUGUACAAUAUAUUAAUGAUUGCAAAGGCUCCCUAAAUUAAUUUCAUGGACUAAUUUUGUUUUAAAUGGAGGGUAGGAACCCAUCUGUUUCAAACAGCUUUGCGAUAUGCCUUUUGUGAGUUCAAGUCGCAUAUGGUAAUGACCACUUAAGUGAUCUCCUACAUGCACAACUACUUAUUUGGAAUAGUACUAACCAGUGCAUCUAUAAAAUGGUACUAGGAUUUUGGUGCACUGAAAUAGGUUCCUUCUUUCCCCUCCUCUCAAAAAUUCAGCCUUAUGUUAGUGUUUAUUAUAUACCAAAGAAAAGCUUGUGCUCUUCCCCACAGUGGAUGUGUUAUUCAUUGCAUAACUGCACUGGUUAGAUACUUUACAUUUUGCUUGCCUGUCCCUUAGAGAAAGAGUUGGGACAUUUUUUGUAGUAGUUACAACUAACACUACUUUUCUACCAUGAAUUGUUAUAACUAUAUAACAUUAUAAAUAUAAUUGAGGUAAUAAAAGCAAAGCAAACAGUCAAGAUUAUAUCCUGGGUUGUAUUCAGAAGCUAAAAGUGUGUGGGUUUGCUGUACAUCACACUUAUUUAGGAAGGAUAUCAUUUGGAAAUGAUCACAUGUGGAAGACACCAGCUGGGGGGCAUGUACCUCAUACUCGAGCCUACAUCAAAUGACUUACUUAAACAGGGAAAACGCCUUUUUCCGCAGGUGUCCUUUCUAUAGAUAAAGGUGUGUACAGCCUGCAGAUAUCUACAGUGGGCAAAGUAAACAAAUAGAAAUGUGUUCAGCUGACAAAUUUCUAAUGUAAAUGUUUUUGCCUUAAAGUGGAAGGAUCAAAGAAAUGCCUUGCAGAAUGGACCUUCCAUCACAGAGACAGGGAGUCAGAGGACUACAAUGGUGCUGCCUGGCCUCUGUUGUGGUGCAAUCUGUAAUGCAUCUGUCCUGUGAAGCAGGAAAGUACUAUUACAUUUAUUUUUCAAAUAGAAAGCUAAGACAUGGACAGAAACCAUGGGACCUGUAUGCACACAUAAGGGAACUCUGUAAAAGCUGGGGGGUUGAAGAAAGCAUUGUGGAGGCUCUGGCUAACACCAUUAGACCAUCCUUGCAAAAUUUAUGUUGCCAAGUCUGCUGCCAAUGAAAUCUGAAAGCAAACAUUAGCAGCCAAGAACAUAAUUCUAGUUAAUUGCCUUAGGAGGACACAAUUUCCAAGAUCUAGUAAAAGAUGGAGUUCAGCUCCCAUAUGUCCCAUUUGAUAGCCCAAGAAAACAUGCCCACAUUUUUCACAGAAACAGUGACAAAUGUCCGACUACUUGUCUCUCAACUGAAUAAAACUAAUCACCAGGCCCAGAGAUGGAAAUAGCUGCUCAUCAGCACCCAGCCUGAAAAGCUAGCUCAGGAUCUGUCACUGAGGAACUGUUUUCAUUCACCGUGUUGAAAGCAGCUUCAGAAGAUGACAGCUGACCUCCAGAGCACCUCUCUGUGCUGCUGUGUCAGCCAACAGAACAGCAGUGCCCUAUAUCGUGCAUGCAGCUACCCUGUCAUUUUGCUGGUUCAUUAUUAAAAAACAAACAAACAAACAAAAAAAACCCAACAAAAACCAAACAAACAAAAAACAAAACAAGAAGUUAGCAUGUCAUAUUCUUGACAAAAUACUAGAAAGAAGAUAGAGGCAUCAAUAUAAAUGCAGUCAACAGUACGUGCCAGCACUGCCUUGCUCAGUCAACAGUACGUGCCAGCACUGCCUUGCUGUGCUAUAGGUACAUGGGCUGUUCAUGCCAGAGGGACACUGGUGUGUAGCCCCAGGGUGACAGCGAGGGCUGGAAGGCUCGGAGAGAGAGGACUGUCUGUGGGAGCAUAACACUUCUGAUUGGGGAUGUCCUGUCUCUGCGUGGCUCUAAGGCAUAUGAAUUCUUCAGCUGGAUUAAAGAUAUCAUGUUUCUUUUUAGCACUUACAGUGUCAUGUUCAAGGAGAUGCAGUUGCCCUCUCCACACAUGGGAAGAUGGUCCUGCUGUGCUGGUGCAAGUUUUUUGAUGUAAUUCCCAGGUUUGUUUGAAUAAAGUUGGCUAAUUGGGCUGUUGAUGUGCGUGCUGGUUUGUUAUACCAGACCUGACCCUGUGGAGUGAAUACCUUUCAGAUGUCAUGGCGACAGCCCCAGCCUGGGUCACUUGCUCAGAGGACAGUGGGGAAUGUCUCAGUAGCCACCAAGCAGACCUGGAGGCUCAUUGCAAACAGGGGAGCAAGAGGGUUGUGGAGCAGGACUGUGACAGACCUCAGUGUUUAAUCCAGGCCUUCUGGGCAUACCUUUAUCUACCCAAACACCAUUAGUAUUUGCUAAAUGGUCAUUUUUUGAAACCACUGAAAAUCUUCACCUUCCCCUUUUAUAUAUGAUACAUGUGAAACUGCUCAUCUAAAAAGAGUAUAUUGACACCUUAUUUAGUGAAAAUGGGCGCACAAGGAAAGCAGGCACAAAUUGCACAGCAAUUUUUUACCUUAAAUAUUGAAGAAAAUAUAUUUUAUUCUGUCUACCAUGAGAUUAAAGAGCAAAAAACAUUAGGAAGGUCAAGGUAAGUAAUCGUAACACACCAGCUAAUGUGUAUUUCCUUGAAAUCUUUCAGGUUUGUACAGAGUAAUGACAUUUCUGAACUUCAGUAACUUCCACACAGAAACACAGCCCAUUUUGACAGGCCUCAGUAAAUCAUUUAAAAUCAUAAGGGCUGCCAUUAUGCAGCCUGUGAGAUAAAGUUAGACAUAGCGUAUUUUACUGCAAUUGGGCUUCAAUUUCACUCUAGAUUUUAGGUGACAUAAAGCUCAAAAGGAGCUCCUGAUACUACUCUGCCAGAGAGGAGAUCAACAUUAUAAAUACAAGUUUUGACUACACAGCUGAGGAAAAUUGAAGCAAUUAUUAUUAUGGAAGGACCAAGGUGAUAAGUACCAUGUUAUACAUGAACAACUGUCAGUCAGAUGUGCCAAGAAAGGUCAUAAUCUGUUAUAUUAAUGUCAUAGAUGUUAUCAUAAACUGACAUCAGGAUGGUAAACUGGGAUUCUUGUGCCUUUUUUUUUUUUUUAAGUGCUGUUGUUUGUAAAUUUCACUGUGUCCUGGAAAGGCAAGUUGAAUAUUGUUUUUUCUCUCAAAAUAAAGGACUUUAAAGAUUUUCAGCAUAACAUAAGUAGUUUUGUUUUUUAUUAUCUUAAAGUAGCUGACUGAAGUGUCACUGCAGAAUUCAAGAUACUGUGAUCAAACGAGGGAUGAGAAACCAGCAGCACAAUAGUACCUGACUAUUUAGAUAUCGUCCCUCCUUGCUUUAUUUGAACUGUAGCUGUCACACCUGCAUCACUUGGGCAGAUGUGGGAACUCCUGCCCUGGCUGCUGACCACACCAAGCCAGCACUGUGCCCUUUGCAAGCUACUCCCUUGACAUUCAUUUUUUUUUCUAUAUCAAAUAUGAACCAGGGUAGCACUCAGGAGUUUUUGACAGUGGAAUGAGAGAGUAUAAAUCGUAUUUUAUGUCUUUUGUGUUGCCAAACAUUUUCACACCAACAAAGCAGCUCAAUGGAUGUCACCAGUGCAUGGCUCCUCUGAAUUCACCCUGGGCUCCCAGAAGAGCAUCACCAGGGAUGGAGAAAGCAGAGUGCUCUCUAAUGAGACUUCCUUCUUGCCAGCACCAAGGGGUGUGGCAUCCAUUGCUGACCAGUUAAGAACCAGGAGUAAAUUCUUGUCACCUUGUGUAAAUCUGCUCCCAACACAGUCUCCCAAUCAAGGGUAAGGGAGGUGACUGCUGAGCCCAUCCAAAACUAUACCCUCAUGUCCAGACUCACUAACUUUACAAGUUCUGCAAAGGAGUGGGAUUACCCUGAAAUGUCGGUGCAUUGGAGGUGAAACAACUACCCAGUUAACACUGAACAACUUGGUUUCCAGCAUUUGGGUGAAUGGUAUGGUAAACUCCAGAAAUGCAAGAGGAAUUUAAGGUGAGUUUUCACAUCCCAGGCAGAGUCCAAAGACAAAAGCAGGGUAAGUACUUCUGGAAAGUGCCAUGCUGUAUUUACCAACCACAUCAGAUCAGGGCAGUGGUUUUAAAUCAGACUUAAAAUUCAGCCUUUCCAGCAGACUCAUGCUGAUGUACGGGUGUGAUAACAUUGACGCAGGCAGGAGACAGCCACCAGUGAGUCACCGCAGCACUUCCUGCAGAAGCCGGCUGUCUGCGGUGGGCAUCCCAUUGCACUGCUCAUCUAGUCGGGCUCGUAAAAAUCACCCAUCUAGUCGAGCUUGUACAAUCUACAAAUAAGCCGUGCUUGUAUCAUGCAGGUAAAUGUUCGUAGUGAAACUGAUAUAUGCUGGCUUGAAUUGUAUAAGAUAACUGCAAACCAUUACUUCAAGUGAGAGCAUAAUGCUUGGAACCACAGGCAGGAAAAUACAUUUACAGACUAUCAAAUUAUCUUGGGAUAAUAGUAUAAUGCUUUAUGCUGCUGCACUGUGUGUUCUGAUAACUGAGCAAAUAAUACUACAGCUGGAAAAGGCUCAGAAUUUCAGAGAGAAGAGAUGUCAUAAGCAGAGUUCUUCCACAGGAGAGACUGUUUUUUCUGUAUUAUUUGGGGGGAGUAUUAAAAAAAAAGCAGUUAUUUUGUUAUGACUCAGAACUACAUAGAGUAACAUUGUAUGAUAAACAAAACCUUUAGACAAUUUGUCUAUUUUAUAACAUAACCUGCAAAGUGCUUCCUUUUUUCAUACAAGGUUACUUCUCUCUGUGCCUGCAACAAUAUUCUUUUGAUCAAAUGUGUUUUCAGAACUGGCACAAACAAACCAAGUAGCUAAGCAACUAUAGCAGCUGGCAUGCACAAUUGCUGUUUGAAUGUAAAAUUUUUCAAGCACAUUUUAGAGAAAACAGUGUGUUCUUUGAAAUUCUGAAACUAAAGCUAUAUACCAUAGUGCUGUUCAUGAUGUCUGUAGAAGUAUAUGACACCCAAAGUGCUUUUAGGAAGCUCCAAGGUAUAUCAAAGAGCAUUAACUUCAGCACAGCUGAGAAUGUCCCCAGAUUCAUUUAUGAAUACAUAUCUCUUAUAUCCUGUAUGUUAACUACAGUUAACAUAGUCUUGGUCAUUGAGAAUAAUCCACAGAGUAAGCCUAUUAGGUGAGAUUUAGUAUAUACAUUUUUCUGCUCACAUCUGCUUGCCUGACAUAUGUAAUCUGCCUGGAUGUCACAGCUUACAUCCUAUUUUCAUUGGAGCAUAAUGAAACUUGAUCGGUGUCUUCAUCUUCUUCUCUGUCUCUCUAAGCAAUAUUUCUUGUCAGCUUCUCCUUACCAGGACUCUUUGGUGUGAUUGUUAACCAGCUCCUUUAUCAAAGGGGAAUACAUGCAAGGCUUGCAGGCAAUCAUUGUUUGUGCAAAAUGGGUGAAGAAAGUGUUAAUUCAAAGACAGUAAGAAAAUAUAAGUGGUGUAGUAAUUUCCUAAUCUGAACUUUCUGUACUUCCUUUUCCUACAAAGCUCUGGCAUAUCACUAUUUUCGCAACAAUCAAUCAGUACUAGCUUUCUGAAGACUUAUGUUUCAUUUUAAUUCUUACAAAUCUGAACUGUAGGCACUUCAGUAAUUUUAGAACCGCUUAGUCCAAGAGGUAAAUUAAAAUUAGGGAAAAUUAGACCAUUUCUAAUUAGAUGGUUAUUACACAGAAUAAUGAUGAUUAUUGGUUCUGCUUAAUAAAACUGUCAGCCAAUGCAAAAUAUAUAUUAAGUGAAAUUACAUUACAGUAUAUUUCUGUCAACUCAGAAAUCCAGUGCAUUGCUUUCCCACAAACCAUGAGCGUAACAAAAUGUUAGACAGUGCUUCCUUUUCCAAAUAGGAUGAAAUGUGGAGCUUUCAAAAACAACUCUUCAAAGCCCUGAUUUAAAGACCCUUACAUCCAAUGUGGUGAAGACUCAUGAUGACUUCUGUGCCAUGUAGAUCAGGACUUCACUAAAAUCAGCUGUGUUGUCUGCUAUUGUCUGUACUAGAUAUCUAGAUAAUGCUAUUGCAGUGUAUAUUUUACAGUAUUAUUAGCCUACUAAUGAAAAAAACUCAUAGGCACACAUUCCCAUUCCCCUUGCCUCACUGAGUUCAUUGAUUGCUGGUUCACCUGCUUUUCUGUUCUCAUUAACCUGCAAAUUAGGAGAUGGACUUCACAGAGUGAACUACACAUUUAAUUUCUAAGGUGAAAACAAUGAGGAAAAUUAUCUAUUAGCUAAAAAUGAGAUCCUGCUGUAUAAAACAUGACACUGGAGUCCCAAAUGCUUAGAGGUGAUUGGUCACAAAAUCUGAAUUCUCAGCAUUUUUUUGUUUAAAAGCAGGACAUGAUAUCAAACCUUGCCUUCAGCAAGGACCACUGUGCUGAGGAACGAGAGCCAUCCCUCUGGGACGGUGAGUCCCUGCCUCUGCACUGGAAGCCUCUGUGGCAGCAAACUGACAAAGGGGGAGGAAGAAAAGAGGAGCGGAGUGAAAAGCAUGUUUCUGUGUAGGGUUUUAUCUAAAAGAAUGUGUUUUUGUGGCCUAUUUUGAUAUAAACUAAGCCACGUUUGUCUUACAGAAAAGGUUUUUACUGCAGCUACAGAAGCAGUGUAUUUUAUAGAUUCUGAGACUAAGCAAGCAGUAACAAGUGCAUGAUGAGACACACCUGUGCCAUUGAUCUGGUGAACUGGGGCAUGGAGGUGAGCGAGUCUUUCUGUGGUGCAUGCUGAAACCUGGAGAAGCACAGAUUUUCCUAUAUAAUUUUAUUUAUUUGAGAGUACUAUUGUUCCUGCAAAUAGCAAUGUGUUAUCUUAAGUGAGGAUGAUAACAUAGUUAAUAAGUCACAACAUGUGUUGUUAUAAGGUUUUUACCAUGCUUUGAAACAUUUACUAUUCAACAAGAUUUCUCCUUUUAUGAAGCCCAUUUUGUAGAGUUCCAUAAACAAGGUUCAACAGUCACAAUUUCAUUAGCAUUAUAUUGUUGCCAUGGUAAUGCGAUACCAAUUCAAUUGAUGGGCUUUUCUUCCUGGGCUUAUUAUAGAAUUGCUCUUCCUGUCGAAGAUACAUCUAUAUGGAAACAGAAAAUAGACUUUACCAUCUGAAUAUUAGCACAAAAUUUCAUCCUAUGCUAAUUUGGAUAGGAAUGUAUCAUGUUAUUGGCGUCAGACUCAGAAAUCAUCAGAGACACAAUAGAAGUUACUAAACAUCAUACACAGAAAAGUUGCAGUCCAAAAUUAGGAAAAUUACUUGCAUUGUUUGUUGUGGUAUCUGAAUUUGUUAUUGCAAAAGCACUUUGGUCUGCUGUGAUGAUUCUCUGUAAUGCUGUUGGGAGGACACAGUGCUGCAGGUGGUAAUAUCAAAGGGAAAAAAAGGGCAGUAACGAAUGCUAAAGAACAAAAUGUGAAAGGAUGUUGGUCCUUCUACUGUUUGCAUGUUUUGCAGCAUGUUUUGGUGAAACUGCUGCCAAAAGCAAUGCCAUGGUUUUCCGAUCUGUAAAAUGGGGAUAAUGAUCCCUCACCCCCUGUGCCGAGCACCUGGCAUACACCUAAUAACAAGUGAUAGCUAGUACUGCUAAACAUCGUUAUUAAGUAGCAAUGUUUUUAACAGCUCCAGGAAAAUACACUGCACAUCUAUAAUUUGAGAAAUUUCACUGGGAAAAUCUGGACUCACCCAGGGAAACACAGAAGGGUUGGCAGACCGAGCAGGCAACAGAACAUACACACUUAUGGAGGAAAGAUACAUCAUUAAAAAAUCAUGUCAGUUCGUAGUUUUUUAAAAAUCAAGAAUAUUGUAGGCUACAGCAGAAGUAUCUGCAGCAAUCUGAGCAAGCAGAGCAAUAAUACAAUAUAAGGCAACAGAGAGGUGGCAUGUUCAUUGUAUAUUGAAACAUUUUCUUGUGUAUUUUCACUGUUUUUUUAUGAUUGUUUCCUAUUUAGAUAGGAAAUAUCUUUUUCCAUUCUGACACAUAAUGUUCAGUCUAUCAUUUCUUAGCUUAAUCAUGUUGUGUUCUUUGCAGCAGCAAGGGUAAAUUACAGGCAGCAUAGUAUUCAGUAUAAUCAAAGAUGUGUUCCAUUUUACAUGAUAAGUUUUGUCUGAUUUACGGAGGCAGUAUCUUCUCCAGCUGAGCAAGGAAAGAGAGACCUUACUUGCAGAUAAAAAACACUUCAGAGGAGACACUUCUCCUCCAUUAGGAUACUAUUGUUCAUACAAAAAAAUAACCAUUGUUACUACUAUUAUCUAUUUAUUUAUUUUUACCAUGAUACAGCCACAGGACAUAGGUGAGACUGGGACCUACUUGUGCUAAGCACAGCAAAACCACACAGAGAGCCACAGUCUCCUCCUCAGACAAUCUAUAAGGUUAAGAGCCAUGAGAAAGACCAAAGAGGAAAUAUGGAGAGACAGCUUAAGUAACUGACUGAAAGUCGGAGAAGACAGUGGCAGAAGCAGAACAGGUCUCCAGCCCCAGUGCCCUCCAUCUGGAUGCUUUCCCAUCUCAGGGAUGGAGAUAUUUGGAGAUAUCAUCUCCCAAAUGGUGAGGAUUCAGGCUCUAACUCAUAGACAGAGCCACAUUUUACCUCCUGUUUUCAAUGGCUGCAUCUAUGUUGCUGAGCAGGGGCAGCCUGAGGGAAAACUUGAAGUCAGCUGUGCAGCCCACCCGUAUUCCCUAUUAAAACACCUUCAGGCUGGCUCCAGGGCAACUCUGCUAAUCCUCCCAGGGACAAAGGCUCAGGAACAUCCUACAUUUUCGAGCAUGAUCAGGAUCAUGAGGGUCAGGGUACCUGCCAGAGGAAUAUUAAGGGGUUUCACCACCACCACUGAGGCAACAGAAAUCAGGCUUUCUUCUUUGACGGUAGGCACUUCCAAAGCCAAGCCUGAACAGACAGAGAGGCUGGGGGUGAGAGAGGAGAUUUUGGUCACAAGAGCAAAAAGUCAGUCUGCGGCAGAAUUUGAAGGCUUUGAUCAGGAAGAAGUAUGUUGUCUUUGACAAUGAAAGUAUUGGCUUGGUGUUUUUCUUGCUUUCUCCCUCUUUCUCUCUCUCUUAAAAGUCCAUGUAAUGUAAAACUCUUAAACUCUGGGGGAGGAAGCAUUAAUCUUCCGAACAGUAAAUACUUACUUUUGCUGUGUGGUACCUGCUGACUUUACUGCUGUUGCAACCUUUUAAAAUGCUUCAAGGAAACCUCAUUAGAUUUCAACCUUUUUUCUUUAUUUUAAUCAGGGAAUCUGAAGAGAGUUUCUAAUAAUUUUAGUUUAACUUUUUAAUAAAAACUGCAAAUAAUAUGCUAGCAUGGAUUUGAUCUCAUAUACAUAUCUGAUAAAAAUUCUGAUUUGUAGUAAAAUUCAUUAGCCAGGGGUCUGUUGUCAUCAUAUUAAUGAACAUAAAGGCUGAAAGCUUUAAAAUGGCAAUAUUACAGUGAGCCAAUAUUUUUUAGAAUGGUUUUGCAUCAUGCAUUCAGUAUUGGUGAAGAUUAAGAUUUAACAUGGAGAAGCAAUAUCCAUUAUGAUGGGAUUGUCCACAGUGAAUUGAGUAGGACAUUUGCUUAAUAAAAAGUAUUUAUCUUAAUGAUUUAAGAAGUGUGUCCUACUACUGAACUGAUGAUCUAAAUUAGUUUCCUAUAAUCAGUUCACUAUUGAUGACUCUCCUUAUACCAAACAGAAGAAGAAAAAGGUAAGAGUGAGAGGAAAGUAACAGAUCAAACUGAGAAUUUAAAGCAACUUGAGAAAUAAUGAUUAAUUAACACUACACCAUGAGUAGAAAUUACACACAAUCACACCCAUAAUGCAGACAGCUUAACAGAGCCCUAAAAUGGUGCAGUUCCAGCAGAAAUUAGGAAGCCGAAACAUGAAGAAAAGCUCAUAUUCCCACUGUCACCUGCUGGACCUGUGCUACUUCACCCUCCCCUCAUGAGGCCUCAGAGCACAUUGGGGAGCUGACCUCGAGGGGUGGGCAGGAGCUCUGCCGCUGUGGGUGUAGUGCGGGGGUCUCAUGGGGUCUCAGCAGCCAGGUCCUGGGGCAGCAGGGCUGCUGUGGCUGAGGAAUUCAGGUAGAGAGUGGGAAGCACAGCCAAGGCAAAGGCCAGAUCUACAGAGAGGGCAGGAGCUAGUCUAACCUGCUCCCUAGAGUGGGUUUAAGUAUCUGUUUGCAAAAACACACCUUUAGGGGAGAGGCCCAACUGGGGGAGUGUUUCAACUUAUCUCAAUGUUACAGCUGGACAGCCUGUCUCCUGGACUGAUCGGUCUUCCUUCCUUGCCAUGCCAGAUGACCCAUGGAGAGUUGUAGAUCUUCAGUCUGUGGGGACAAUCUAACACCAGAAAAUUCUGGGGCUGCUACUACAAGGUGGUCCUCUGACCCUGCCUCCAGUCUGUGCUACCAGACCUGGUCCUGUGACAGCAGAGGGAGUGACACCCGGACACCCAGCAUCCCGCUGCCCCCAGUCACUGCAAAAGGGCGUUUGCUGCUGCCGGACACCAGCUGCCUGACGCCCAGCCCAGCUCGACUGCUGGCGGAGACGCUGCUGGGACCAGUUCCCCCCACCUGGUGCUGCCUGCCCUGUUCUUCUGAGUGAUGCCCCAGCCCACUCCUGUCUCAUUGUGCUCCUGCCUCUGGGCCAAGUUGCAUUUUCAAUUAUCACAAUACACAAUGCAGAUGCUAUGUGAAACAGCCAGCGUGACUCAAGCAGGCUGAGCUCAGUAGAAAUACAGUUAAAUCAAAAGGACUGCUAAACUACCAGGAGGCUGAUUGGAACCACAAGAUACCAAUGCCAUAUCCUGUGGCUUUUAUGUUGGUGGAUGUAGAUUUUUAGCCAUUAGAGUCUAGCUAUCCAACAGAUAACAACCAGAGGAAAUGCAUCUGGGCAUCAUCAAUGGUGAAUAAGUGAUACAUUUUUGCCAAUAAACGGAAGACCUGUGCCAGAAGGAAAAAACUUUUGAGAUACCUACAAAUAUAAUCAGGCAUGCAAUCUGUGGUAGCUUCUAACUAUGUACAACUUAAAGAAGCUCCCUGAUCACUCACAAUACAUUUUAAAUGGUAUGUCAAGAGAGCUCUGAUCUCAGAGAGUUGAUGAGUGGUUACACUGCCAACUCCAAAUUCAGGCAAGGAAAUAAAUAGCAAGUGUAGGUCUUAAUGUAUGUAUUUGUACAAACAGUAACAAAUCCCUGGCUUGGGUAGGUGGGGGUAAAAUGCUAUGAAAAAAGAGGGAGAAAUAAGAAAAAAAUACAAUAACGUAAAAUGUACCUGUUAUUAACUUCUAGAAAAGCUCAACAGCUAGAAUUUUAGCUUGUGGUAUGUAGACAAAUGUAAAAAGAGCAACACAUUGAGUGUGUUUUUCUCCAGAGCAAAAUGAAAUAGGCAUACAGAGCAAAUUAUAAUAUUUAGUACUUUCAAGGCAAAUUCUAGUUGAGGAUCAUGAAGUAAUUUGAAAUUAUUAAUGAAUUAGCCUCACAGCUAGCUUUCAGGUAGAUAAUAAUGAUAAUUAUUACUAUAAAUAAAUACUAUUAUUAUCAUUCUUGCUCCAAAUAAAUGAAAAUUGAGGCAUAGAGAAUUUAUGCAUUUGUCCAAAGUCUGUAUUUUACCGCUGUAACCAUCCUUCUCUAGAACUAUUAUAUAUCGAGUUUAUAGUUUUCCAAAUACUGUAUGUGAUACACUAUUCAGUUUAUGAGCUCUAAAAACCAACCAGCUGAGCUUCCUUAUGAAACAAUGCCUGUGAACAUCUCCAUUUGCAUUUGAAUUCUCAAGCAGCGACAAUCCUGCUUAAAAAAAAUAUAAAGAAAAAAAGGAAUCAUGGAAAUCAGUACAAAAUCUGUCAAGGCCCCAUCUGUGACUGGGAAUCAGAAUAUCGCUAAGAAGCUCUGAGGAACAAAGUUCAUUCCAAGUCUAAGGCAUAGUGCUUUUUUGUCGAUGAAAUUAAUUCAAGCAGGGUGAAAUGAGGGCACAUACCAUGAAAAACUCUGUUCCUCCACUGACGGGUAAAGGAAAGCAGCAUGUCUGCUGUGUAUGUGAUCCUGGUUUUGGUACAUGUAGCCAUGCUUUAAUAUAAUACUAAAGGUUUUACAUGGCAAAAUGGUCAGUGUUCUCACAUCUCCUUUUGUUGCCAUGCAGACCCACUGCUUCUCUGAGGAGUAUCGGGGAACGAGUGAUCUCUGGUCCUAACAAGAUGAGCUUGCUGCAAAAAGCAAGCUUUCAUAGCCAGCUACCUGAAGUAGUAUGGAAAUAAAAUAAUAGACUCCACCCUGGUCUUGAAAAUACCCCUACAAACAUGUUUACUUCCUGCUGGAUGGCAAUAUAUAAAGUUUAGGGACACUUAUUUGUAGGAUGUCUAUAUAUUUCCUAUUCAGGAUCUGAAUUUCUAAGAGUCUUGGCAUUAGCUUUUUGCUCUCACAUGUAAUAUUUGGAACGAACUAUAGGAAAUAGGAAAACCACAGCAUUAACACCAUUCUAAUGCACCAUCUUAUUUUUCUUUCCUUUUUUUUCUUUUUUUUUUUUUUUUUAACUGUUAGAGUAUGCAAAUGUUCUGUUAACUGGUCCUCAUGUUUUCAUUUUAUUGAAUUGCUUUCAGUAUGGUAAAUAAAUAUUCAUAAAGAAAUGUGGACAAUAAAUCAUUUCAAAUAGUUCAAAGCCAUUUUCCUUCUACACUGCAUAUAUAUUCAGCUGUGACUCGCCUUUAAUAUUUCAUUCAAAAGAGAGACUUGUAGAAGGACAAUAGAGAUAAUGUGUCAAGUAGUAAUUAAAAGAGUGGGUAAUGAUUAAAACCAUUUUAUCUACAUUGUGCUCUGUCAAAUUCAUAAUCUCCUGUGUUUGUUAAGAUGACUUUCUACUUGCUUUAUACAGAAACUCAAAAUAAACUUCUGUUUGAAGACACUGCACAGAACAAAAUAUUUUAACCCCAAGCUUGUGGGGUGCAGAGCCCUUCCCAGCUCUGGAGUUUUGGUAUAUCUUCUGUACCAUCCUACAGAAGAUAAACUCAGGCAGGCACUGUCCCUCCUGCCAACACUGGGACUUCUCUGGGAAGCAGAUCCAGGUAUGGGGCAGAAGAGAACCAAGUGGCACCCCAAUGUGUACAGGCAUUUGUAACCUCUCUCACCAUUCAGAUUUAAGCUAAGAGCUUCAAAAGAAAUCAAAGUUAGAGAUCUGUUUAGCUUAUACAUUUGGGGACCUUGGUUCAAAUCCAAGUAACAAUGGUGUUCCUUGUCUCAUUUUAUGCAUUUUGGCUGCUAAUACACAUAUUUGGACCAAACUCAUUAUCUUUCCUGAUUUGUUGCUGACUUUAGGCCCUGAUUCAACAGAGCACUUACAUACAGACUUAAAUAAAUUGAUUUAAGAAAGCAUUCCUCUUUGUGUUUAAUCUUGGGCAGACAUUCAACUUUGAAAUCAAUGGGACUCAUGAGCAGCCCUGACCUUGGGGUCUAAAUGGUUGCUGAAUCAGUGCAUUGACAGAAACAUACUGGAAAAUAUAAUAUCCAUGUCUAAUCAGAAUUUUAGUCUCUACUUUCAUGGGAAAUUACCCAUAGAUAACACAUUAUUCUGCUCAAGAAAUCCAUUUUAUAGCAUUUAUUAGAAAGCCUCAAUUCACAUUGUCUGUUUAUGCGAAAGGUACCAGAUGAACAGUGUCAUUCCUUAAUAUAUCUGUAACAGUCUUUAAAUGAAAAAAAAUACAGGAAAAGUGCUGGCACAGGUGGUCAUUACUAAUUAUUUACAGACUUUCUCAGUUGCCUGCCACAUGGCAAUCCUUUGGAGGACGGGCAGAUGGAAGGUAAAGCAGAGUGGUUGUGAAAUCCCAUGGACUUGCAGACAAUUGCAUAUGAAAGAUCAUGUUAUGCAGUAUCUAAAAAUGAAACUCAACCCUAAGAAUAACAUUUAUAAGAGCUCUCUCUGCCCUGUCUACAUAGGGAAUUUUUAGUGAUCACAUUUUUAUCACACAAUGAGAGCAGCAAGGGUAAAAACAGCAGAUCUUUCUUGUAUUAUGGUGUAGAGGUUAUACAAGUGCAACCAUAGCCAAGUCUAUGAGAUUACAAGAAGCAGUUGUUAAAAUAAUUGGGGCUAUGUUGUAUGAAAUAAAAUAGUUUUCUUGCCAUUCUUUAAAAUGUUUCACACCUUAGUCUUAUUUACUGUAUUUCAAACAUGACAAACAAGGACUCUUUAAUGUUGUUUACAGAUUUGACACACAGACAUAGGAGGGGAACUAAAUUAUGAUAGGUCCCAUUAUGUAAUCUAAUUCAACGAAUGACAAGAAUGAAGAUCAUAAGAAGCUGGAGGAAGAGUCAAGGGGUGCUGCCUCUCUGUCCAACUAUGGAGGACACCAUGAUCCACAUUAUUCCACUGGGUUCUGGGGGCAGAGUUUGGGAAUAAUGCAUAAAGAAGAGCUGUGCAGUGUUCACCUGGCUCAUAGUGGUAGAAACUCUUGCAGUUCCUGGUAUCUAUCUUAAUGCUCCCCACACUUGCUUUAAAGCUGAUGAGCCAGAAAUAUGCAGCUGCUGUGUUGCAGGCUCAUUGCAUGCAAGCUCUGUAUUGCCUGCAAGCCUCGGAAUCAACGUCCCUUAGAUCAAAGGGCAGACUGUAAAAGGAGAGCACAGAAGGUCAUGACCUAUCUUAUCCGUCUGUAUAAUUCUCAAAUAACCAAAAAACCCCUGAAGCUCCCCUUUCCA
Columba livia (rock pigeon) is the source of this 31856-nucleotide long non-coding RNA. RefSeq lists it as uncharacterized. The record is from RefSeq and is a predicted model, not a curated record. NCBI's taxonomy places the organism in Eukaryota, Metazoa, Chordata, Aves, Columbiformes, Columbidae. The transcript has 5 exons.